CAACAUUGGUUCAAGAUUUUCUAUGCCACUUCUUGUAUUUCUAUCUAUUUGUAUUGAUAUUUGAAAGAAAGUUAGAUUUGAUUGUGAACUUUCUAAUAAGCCUUAUCACAUAAAAAAUAGAAUUGUGACAAGAGAGAUUUAAGCAAAUUUGUAAGAAGGGAUUGCUGGAAUUUUUGGGUAGCAAAUUUUAAGACUAAUUUGAGAUUUUUUAUGCCAAUUAUUCGAUUAUUUAUUUAUUUAUUUAUUUAUCCAUAGUGAACAAACUUUUCCUAGGUUGACUCAAUAAUAAAUAAAUUAUAGAUAUUUUAAUAAAAAGGAAUUUAAAUUUGAGAUUAGAGUUAACAAUUUGAUGCAUUCUGGGAAAAGAACAAAAUUAGUCUAUAAAUUGUAUCUAGUCUUUGGACUGGCUUUUAUAUCUGAUUUU
RNAcentral lists this long non-coding RNA (424 nucleotides) under Physcomitrium patens. RNAcentral's name for it is "long non-coding RNA (PPAT_LNC013473)". Lineage: Eukaryota; Viridiplantae; Streptophyta; Bryopsida; Funariales; Funariaceae. The record is from RNAcentral.